RNAcentral lists this ribosomal RNA (327 nucleotides) under Acinetobacter sp. TJI-36. RNAcentral describes it as "bacterial SSU rRNA". It matches the Rfam family "Bacterial small subunit ribosomal RNA", at positions 19 to 348 of the family's 1533-position model. Lineage: Bacteria; Pseudomonadati; Pseudomonadota; Gammaproteobacteria; Moraxellales; Moraxellaceae. The record is from RNAcentral.
UUGGCUCAGAAAGAACGCUGGCGGCAGGCUUAACACAUGCAAGUCGAGCGGAUGAAGGUAGCUUGCUACCGGAUUCAGCGGCGGACGGGUGAGUAAUGCUUAGGAAUCUGCCUAUUAGUGGGGGACAACGUUCCGAAAGGGGCGCUAAUACCGCAUACGUCCUACGGGAGAAAGCAGGGGACCUUCGGGCCUUGCGCUAAUAGAUGAGCCUAAGUCGGAUUAGCUAGUUGGUAGGGUAAAGGCCUACCAAGGCGACGAUCUGUAGCGGGUCUGAGAGGAUGAUCCGCCACACUGGGACUGAGACACGGCCCAGACUCCUACGGGAGG